AUGCAUUGCGUACCUGCGAGCCUCGGCGCUGCAAGGUAUGUACCUGGGAGCCCGAGCUCGUGCGUCCGAGCACCCCCAACCCCGCCGCCAGCUCAUCUCACCGGAGAAGCAACACCAGCGGCGCCGCCCCGGUGCCUUCCCUCUCUCCUGCAUGGCUUGCCGCCUCCUGUUCCUUCGUCAGGGAAGGACGCGUUCGCGCCUGGAUGCCCAGACACCAGCUCAUCUCGCCAGAGGGAGCACCAGCGCCGCCGCCCUCUGUGCCUUCCUUUUCUCUCCCACCCCCCGCAUGGCCCGCCGCCUCGUGUUAUCCGGCAGGAAUGA
This 321-nucleotide ribosomal RNA is filed under the name Triticum aestivum (bread wheat). RNAcentral's name for it is "partial small subunit ribosomal RNA". Lineage: Eukaryota; Viridiplantae; Streptophyta; Magnoliopsida; Poales; Poaceae. The record is from RNAcentral.